UUGUGGUGGACCCGAUGGUCUCUCACCCAAUUAAAUAUGUUGUUCUAAAAUAAGUGAAGUACAUAGUAACAAGCAUCAAUGAUGAUGCAAUUUAUUAGGGUUCCGUAUCUCAAAAUGAAAAAAGGUGGUUCAAGCUUUUUCAGACGCGCGCACCGAGGGUUCCGUACUACAGAAGUAAAACGGUAGGAAUUACUUUUGUUAAUGAACUGCAAAACUACUUUGUAGAGGUUUGUU
Molecule: long non-coding RNA, 234 nt
Organism: Maniola jurtina (meadow brown)
Lineage: Eukaryota; Metazoa; Arthropoda; Insecta; Lepidoptera; Nymphalidae
Exons: 2
Source: RefSeq, a predicted model, not a curated record